UGGCGGCGUGCUUAACACAUGCAAGUCGAACGCUGAAACCAGAGCUUGCUUUGGUGGAUGAGUGGCGAACGGGUGAGUAACACGUGGGUGAUCUGCCCUACACUUUGGGAUAAGCCUGGGAAACUGGGUCUAAUACCGAAUAUUCACACCACCGUAGGGGUGGUGUGGAAAGCUUUGUGCGGUGUGGGAUGAGCCUGCGGCCUAUCAGCUUGUUGGUGGGGUAAUGGCCUACCAAGGCGUCGACGGGUAGCCGGCCUGAGAGGGUGUACGGCCACAUUGGGACUGAGACACGGCCCAGACUCCUACGGGAGGCAGCAGUGGGGAAUAUUGCACAAUGGGCGCAAGCCUGAUGCAGCGACGCCGCGUGGGGGAUGACGGCCUUCGGGUUGUAAACUCCUUUCGCUAGGGACGAAGCCUUAUGGUGACGGUACCUGGAGAAGAAGCACCGGCUAACUACGUGCCAGCAGCCGCGGUAAUACGUAGGGUGCGAGCGUUGUCCGGAAUUACUGGGCGUAAAGAGCUCGUAGGUGGUUUGUCGCGUCGUCUGUGAAAUCCCGGGGCUUAACUUCGGGCGUGCAGGCGAUACGGGCAUAACUUGAGUGCUGUAGGGGAGACUGGAAUUCCUGGUGUAGCGGUGAAAUGCGCAGAUAUCAGGAGGAACACCAAUGGCGAAGGCAGGUCUCUGGGCAGUAACUGACGCUGAGGAGCGAAAGCAUGGGUAGCGAACAGGAUUAGAUACCCUGGUAGUCCAUGCCGUAAACGGUGGGCGCUAGGUGUAGGGGUCUUCCACGACUUCUGUGCCGCAGCUAACGCAUUAAGCGCCCCGCCUGGGGAGUACGGCCGCAAGGCUAAAACUCAAAGGAAUUGACGGGGGCCCGCACAAGCGGCGGAGCAUGUGGAUUAAUUCGAUGCAACGCGAAGAACCUUACCUGGGCUUGACAUGGACCGGAUCGGCG
This 956-nucleotide ribosomal RNA is filed under the name Corynebacterium glutamicum. RNAcentral describes it as "bacterial SSU rRNA". It matches the Rfam family "Bacterial small subunit ribosomal RNA", at positions 37 to 1001 of the family's 1533-position model. The record is from RNAcentral. Lineage: Bacteria; Bacillati; Actinomycetota; Actinomycetes; Mycobacteriales; Corynebacteriaceae.